RNAcentral lists this ribosomal RNA (251 nucleotides) under uncultured bacterium. RNAcentral's name for it is "partial 16S ribosomal RNA". It matches the Rfam family "Bacterial small subunit ribosomal RNA", at positions 78 to 334 of the family's 1533-position model. The record is from RNAcentral.
CUUUUGCUGGCGACCGGCGCACGGGUGAGUAACACGUAUCCAACCUGCCGAUGACUCGGGGAUAGCCUUUCGAAAGAAAGAUUAAUACCCGAUGGCAUAGUUCUUCCGCAUGGUAGAACUAUUAAAGAAUUUCGGUCAUCGAUGGGGAUGCGUUCCAUUAGGUUGUUGGCGGGGUAACGGCCCACCAAGCCUUCGAUGGAUAGGGGUUCUGAGAGGAAGGUCCCCCACAUUGGAACUGAGACACGGUCCAA